This is a small nuclear RNA of Homo sapiens (human), 106 nucleotides long. The record is from Ensembl. NCBI's taxonomy places the organism in Eukaryota, Metazoa, Chordata, Mammalia, Primates, Hominidae.
GUGCUCAUUUCAUCAGCAUAUACAUUAAAAUUGGGAUGAUAAGGGAAGAUUAGCAUGACCCCUAUGGAAGGUUGACAUGCAAAUUUGUGAAGUGUUCUAUUUUUAC